UUGACCUCAAAUCAGGUAGGAUUACCCGCUGAACUUAAGCAUAC
RNAcentral lists this ribosomal RNA (44 nucleotides) under Lentinula boryana. RNAcentral describes it as "partial 25S ribosomal RNA". The record is from RNAcentral. Lineage: Eukaryota; Fungi; Basidiomycota; Agaricomycetes; Agaricales; Omphalotaceae.